UAUGAACGCUGGCGGCGUGCCUAAUACAUGCAAGUCGAGCGAACAGACGAGGAGCUUGCUCCUCUGACGUUAGCGGCGGACGGGUGAGUAACACGUGGAUAACCUACCUAUAAGACUGGGAUAACUUCGGGAAACCGGAGCUAAUACCGGAUAAUAUAUUGAACCGCAUGGUUCAAUAGUGAAAGACGGUUUUGCUGUCACUUAUAGAUGGAUCCGCGCCGCAUUAGCUAGUUGGUAAGGUAACGGCUUACCAAGGCAACGAUGCGUAGCCGACCUGAGAGGGUGAUCGGCCACACUGGAACUGAGACACGGUCCAGACUCCUACGGGAGGCAGCAGUAGGGAAUCUUCCGCAAUGGGCGAAAGCCUGACGGAGCAACGCCGCGUGAGUGAUGAAGGUCUUCGGAUCGUGAAACUCUGUUAUUAGGGAAGAACAAAUGUGUAAGUAACUAUGCACGUCUUGACGGUACCUAAUCAGAAAGCCACGGCUAACUACGUGCCAGCCGCCGCAGUAA
RNAcentral lists this ribosomal RNA (513 nucleotides) under uncultured bacterium. RNAcentral describes it as "partial 16S ribosomal RNA". It matches the Rfam family "Bacterial small subunit ribosomal RNA", at positions 29 to 523 of the family's 1533-position model. The record is from RNAcentral.